AGCAGCCGCGGUAAUUCCAGCUCCAAUAGCGUAUAUUAAAGUUGUUGCAGUUAAAAAGCUCGUAGUUGAAUUUCGGGAUCGAAUUGUUGGUCGUGCUUCGGUACGCACUGGCAUUAUCGGUUUCUACCUUCUGAAGAACCGCGAUGUCAUUAAUUUGGUGUCGUGGGGAAUCAGGACUGUUACUUUGAAAAAAUUAGAGUGUUUAAAGCAGGCUUACGCUUGAAUACAUUAGCAUGGAAUAAUGAAAUAGGACGUUUGAUUCUAUUUUGUUGGUUUCUAGGAUCGACGUAAUGAUUAAUAGGGAUAGUUGGGGGCAUUAGUAUUCAAUUGUCAGAGGUGAAAUUCUUGGAUUUAUUGAAGACUAACUACUGCGAAAGCAUUUGCCAAGGAUGUUUUCAUUAAUCAAGAACGAAAGUUAGGGGACCGAAGACGAUCAGAUACCGUCGUAGUCUUAACCAUAAACUAUGCCGACUAGGGAUCGGAUGAUGUUAAUUUUAUAAUGACUC
RNAcentral lists this ribosomal RNA (506 nucleotides) under uncultured Glomeromycotina. RNAcentral's name for it is "SSU rRNA". It matches the Rfam family "Eukaryotic small subunit ribosomal RNA", at positions 569 to 1077 of the family's 1831-position model. Lineage: Eukaryota; Fungi; Glomeromycota. The record is from RNAcentral.